UACGUAGGUGGCAAGCGUUGUCCGGAUUUACUGGGCGUAAAGAGCGCGCAGGCGGUCGAAUAAGUCGAAUGUGAAAGCCCCCGGCUCAACUGGGGAGGGUCAUUCGAUACUGCUCGACUUGAAGGCAGGAGAGGGUAGUGGAAUUCCCGGUGUAGUGGUGAAAUGCGCAGAUAUCAGGAGGAACACCGAUAGCGAAGGCAGCUCGCUGGGACGGUACUGACGCUGAGGCGCGAAAGCGUGGGGAGCGAACAGG
This 253-nucleotide ribosomal RNA is filed under the name uncultured bacterium. RNAcentral describes it as "partial 16S ribosomal RNA". It matches the Rfam family "Bacterial small subunit ribosomal RNA", at positions 524 to 776 of the family's 1533-position model. The record is from RNAcentral.